This 497-nucleotide ribosomal RNA is filed under the name uncultured bacterium. RNAcentral describes it as "partial 16S ribosomal RNA". It matches the Rfam family "Bacterial small subunit ribosomal RNA", at positions 28 to 507 of the family's 1533-position model. The record is from RNAcentral.
GAUGAACGCUGGCGGCGUGCCUAAUACAUGCAAGUCGAGCGAACGGACGAGAAGCUUGCUUCUCUGAUGUUAGCGGCGGACGGGUGAGUAACACGUGGAUAACCUACCUAUAAGACUGGGAUAACUUCGGGAAACCGGAGCUAAUACCGGAUAAUAUUUUGAACCGCAUGGUUCAAACGUGAAAGACGGUCUUGCUGUCACUUAUCGAUGGAUCCGCGCUGCAUUAGCUAGUUGGUAAGGUAACGGCUUACCAAGGCAACGAUGCAUAGCCGACCUGAGAGGGUGAACGGCCACACUAGAUCUAAGACACGUUCCAGACGCCUACGGGAGGCCGCAGUCUGGAAUCUUCCGCAAUGCGCGAAAGCCUGACGCAGCAACGCCGCGUGAGUGAUGAAGGCCCUCGGAGCGGAAAGCGCUGUUAUUAGGGAAGAACAUAUGUGUAAGUAACUGGGCACAUCUUGACGGUACCUAGUCAGAAAGCAACGGCUAACUACGUG